RNAcentral lists this long non-coding RNA (546 nucleotides) under Homo sapiens (human). Its description in RNAcentral is "non-protein coding lnc-UFM1-5:1". The record is from RNAcentral. Lineage: Eukaryota; Metazoa; Chordata; Mammalia; Primates; Hominidae.
AAUGUGAGAGGCUAUGAAUAUAUAGGGAUAGGAAGUAUCUUUAUCUGCUCAAUUUUGCUGUGAACCUAAAACUGCUCUAAAAAAUAAAGUCUAUAAAAAAAUACUCUGGGCUGGAGAAAGGAGGAGAAGAAAAUGAUAAACAUUGUAAGGUCUCCCCGAAAUAUGGCCCUAUUCCUUCAUCCCUAGGGAAACAAUCUCUAGGGAAUUUCAGAAUCAGAGAAAAGAUGCCCAGUUCCUGCUCCCAUUGAAGCCCAGGAAGACAACAAAGUUCCCUUCAUUCUAGGGAGAAAACAUGUUAUCUUUAGUCAAAGAUGUCUGAGCUCUUCUGGGUUCCCUAUAGCCACAGGGUGGUACAAGAGGGCACUUUUCUUACAUCCCUUAGAGACAACAAACAGUCCUAAAGUCGUCUUGCCAGCACACAAAAAGGAGUGAUAUCACCAGACAAAAAUGAGAUGUCAUGUGUCUCAGAUGUUUGGAGUGGACACAAAUAUCACUGAGAAUAUGGAGAGAUGAUGACAAAGGACCAGACGUCACAGUCCUCUGAAG